CUACGGGUCGCUGCAGUGUGGAAUAUUGGACAAUGGGGGAAACCCUGAUCCAGCAAUGCCGCGUGUGUGAAGAAGGCCUGCGGGUUGUAAAGCACUUUCGGUUGGGAGGACUGCUUCUAGCACUAAUAUUGUUGGAAGUUGACGUUACCUUCAGAAGAAGCACCGGCUAACUCCGUGCCAGCAGGCCGCGGUAAUACGGAGGGUGCAAGCGUUAAUCGGAAUUACUGGGCGUAAAGUGCGCGUAGGCGGCUAGAUCAGUCGGGUGUGAAAGCCCCGGGCUUAACCUGGGAACUGCAUCCGAUACUGUCUAGCUUGAGUACAGGAGAGGAGAGUGGAAUUCCACAUGUAGCGGUGAAAUGCGUAGAUAUGUGGAGGAACACCAAUGGCGAAGGCAGCUCUCUGGCCUGAUACUGACGCUGAGGUGCGAAAGCGUGGGGAGCAAACAGGAUUAGAUACCCCGGUAGUC
Molecule: ribosomal RNA, 466 nt
Filed under: uncultured bacterium
Lineage: Bacteria
Description: partial 16S ribosomal RNA
Rfam family: Bacterial small subunit ribosomal RNA
Source: RNAcentral